Molecule: long non-coding RNA, 1865 nt
Filed under: Cricetulus griseus (Chinese hamster)
Lineage: Eukaryota; Metazoa; Chordata; Mammalia; Rodentia; Cricetidae
Description: lncRNA (ENSCGRG00015030897.1)
Source: RNAcentral
GGCGGGCGUCCCCACCACGCCGGGGAAUGGGGCUAGGUGACGAGGUACGGGCACAACCGGCCGCAGUUCUUAUCUCUGCUCCCCACGAUCCCCCCUGCCUCCACGCCCACCAUCCCUCCUGCCUCGGUAGAGCCUUUUCUCCUGUCCAUUUGUGCUCCGUCCGGCCAGCCACUUCUCUGAGGGGCGGAGCGUGACACCCUUCAAGGAUCCUGUACCCAGGGUCUUUCUAUGCAACCUUGGCUUGGCUGUUCUGGAACUUUCUAGUAGACCAAACUGGCCUGUAACUCAGAUCUCCUGAGUGCUGGGAUUAAAUGUGUACUAUCACACCCAUCUCACUCAAAGCUUCGGUUCAUUCGUGGUAAGGUAUUUUGGUGGAGGUCUCUAAGGAACUAUGAACCCAGAAUUACUCCCUGGAACUUAGCAACCCCUUUAGGGGCAGACCUGGCCAAAGACCCUUUGAUGUUUCACAUUUUCCUCCCUCACCUCAUGUCUCUCCUUGUCCUUACAGUGUCCAUCUAUGUGCCCUUACUUCCAGGUUCUGUGCUACUCGAAGAGGACCAUCCUCUGUUUUUGGUUGAUUGCUAUGGAGACUUCAGACCUUGCUCAGACACCUGCUUCCUCUGCCCAAAAAGUCUACUUAGGUGUUUUUACCUUGCAUGCCUGGCUGUAGUGGCUGUCUCCCCAUGAAUAGCUAUGGUGUUUGGGACUGGGACAGAGCCACCCCAAGGCCUGGCGUUGGUCUGACCUACCAUAAGCACUCAGUGGAUAGUGAGCACACAGGAAGCUUUAUUUGGUGAGGGAAUAGUACAAAUGCCACAUUGCAGUGGAACACUGAGCUAGGAUGAGGCCUUGAGUGUUCUUGGGACAAAAGCAUAGGUAUAGGAGUAGCCACCAGCCAUCAAGGGAAAACAGGGCUAAUGAGCACAGCAAAGCUAACAAGAUUCAGGUCAGGGCCCCUAGUGAACCUGAGUCUACUUGCAGAGAAGAUAAGAGCCUGUGGGUGUUGGGGAGAUGGAGUUCAUAAGGCUCCACCCCUCCCUAGGUAGCAACAGGCAGUUAAAAGUUGCUGCUAAGCAGUGAAGCCAAAUUGUUGUUGCUUAUGUAAAGAACCUCCAACUGGUGUUCAUGUUGACAAUUCUGAAUAAAUGCAGAGGAACACACACAAACACACUCUCAUACACACACAAACACACAAAAGUAUGUUGGGAGGAUGAAUUUGAUAGGAAGGAAAAGGGACUAAGAGAAGAUAAAUGGGGGAAUAUGAUUAGGGUACAUUAUAUAUGAAUGAAGUUGUGAAAGAAUAAGAAUAAUUUCAAAACAAAGAAAGAAAGGAAGGAAGAAAAAAAGAAAGGGACAUAAGAGUCUCUCAUUGCCUAGAGCUCAGGAGAAGGGAGGUAAAGCCUGGGUCUUUAGUCUGCCCUAUGACUGACUACUGGAGAAAGAUCUGGAAGACAGUAGAGCCAACGCCUAGCUCUGGGUGUAGGACGAAAAAAGGUGUGCUCCCCCAGAGUUCUGGCCUGAACUCUGAGCACAUCCUCCUUCCAGUCUUCUCCCAGCCCAGCCUGGCACUCUUCUGGCCCCAUGGCUUUCCAUUUUGCUGCCACCCCUAGGGAACUUCCAGAAUCCAGAGCAGGUGUGAUUUGUGAUUACAUUCUCCCUGUACCAACCGCCAUCCUUGGAGAAAGGUGUGUGCAGGAGUACAGAUGGGCGUGAGGUUGGCAAGAGUCUGAUGCCUCUUGGUGUAGCUCCCACUGGUGUGGAGAGGGGCCAACUGUGCUGCCUAGUCCCAGCCUCCCUAGACUUCUCUGGUCUCCACUCUGGCCUUAGUCCUAGGCCCUUGACAAAAAAAAAAAAAGACAAAGCAG